Molecule: ribosomal RNA, 256 nt
Filed under: uncultured bacterium
Lineage: Bacteria
Description: partial 16S ribosomal RNA
Rfam family: Bacterial small subunit ribosomal RNA
Source: RNAcentral
UACGGAGGGUGCGAGCGUUGUCCGGAAUCAUUGGGCGUAAAGGGCGCGUAGGUGGCCCGGUCAGCGUGCGGUGAAAGCUCGGGGGCUCAACCCCCGAGUCGGCCGUGCGAACUGCUGGGCUCGAGCACUGUAGAGGCAGGCGGAAUUCCGGGUGUAGCGGUGGAAUGCGUAGAGAUCCGGAAGAACACCGGUGGCGAAGGCGGCCUGCUGGGCAGUAGCUGACACUGAGGCGCGACACGUGGGGGAGCAAAACAGG